GCAGCGGUAGUUCAGUUGGUUAGAAUACCGGCCUGUCACGCCGGGGGUCGCGGGUUCGAGCCCCGUUCGCUGCGCCA
RNAcentral lists this transfer RNA (77 nucleotides) under Acinetobacter baumannii. Its description in RNAcentral is "tRNA-Asp". It matches the Rfam family "tRNA". From Rfam's summary of the family: Transfer RNA (tRNA) molecules are approximately 80 nucleotides in length. Their secondary structure includes four short double-helical elements and three loops (D, anti-codon, and T loops). Lineage: Bacteria; Pseudomonadati; Pseudomonadota; Gammaproteobacteria; Moraxellales; Moraxellaceae. The record is from RNAcentral.